AAUUGAUGUGUAACCUACACCCUCCUGACCAAUAGGAUCUCAAAUAACCUUGACCUCGUCAGUCUGUGGAGUUUUGUGAUGGGGGAAGAGUGGUGGGAAUCCUCCUGGAGAAGGACAGGAAGUCUGUGACAGUCUUUGAUGGAUUCUCUCAGUCCUCAAGAGUACUAAAAGUGCAUCAGUUUCCAUCCACAGAUAUGUAGGAGGGAUGGAAGCACAGCUGGUGUACAGUCACGUGUGUGACAUACGUUGUCUCCAUGAAGUGAAGCCAUCUUCCACCCCUUGCACACAGCCUGGCCUCUGAAGGCUGCCUGAGUUUUCUGCAGUUCCUACCAAGCCAGCAGUGCAGUCACCUGCUGCUCAGGAACCUGUCACCAGGGCUCAAAGGCCAGAGCAGGAGACCAAAGGCAUUUUGGUGCUUGAGCCUUGCUGGGGGCCUGGCUGAGGACCCCAGUGCCUGGUAAGCACGCUGGUUCUUUUAGGAGUCCCCACCCUAGUGGGGUGUAGGAAAGAGUCCUUCAUUUAAUACCAUCCGUCAUCUGAUGGUAUUGAAAUACCCAAACCUUACCUAGCUAAUCUAUCAUUUGGAAAGUAUCUCUAAUAAGGCAGAUA
Molecule: long non-coding RNA, 609 nt
Filed under: Cyanistes caeruleus (blue tit)
Lineage: Eukaryota; Metazoa; Chordata; Aves; Passeriformes; Paridae
Description: lncRNA (ENSCCEG00000023573.1)
Source: RNAcentral